GUUAUAAUUUUAAUUGUUUUUAUAAAGAUGAAACUAUUUUAGAAGGAGAAUUUAAUUCUGUAAUACUUGAUGAGAUAAUACUAAGAACACAGUCCUUAGGAUAAAUAAGAUCAAAAGUAAUACAUUUUGCAGAAAUAACUGUAACACAUUGUCAAAUAUUUGCUUUUAAGUGUCGUUUUCGACUUACUAGACAAAGUGUUGAGGUAGGUACCUACAAUUAGAGAUAGUAAAUAUUAGGUCAGGAUCAAGUCAAUUCUAUUGCACUAAAUAUGUUGAAUUAAUAAACUAACAUAAUAAUAUUGUACAAUUUGUUAAUUAGAUUAUAAUAUGUUACAUAAUACAUUGGUCCUUUAUUUGUUCAUGAUAAUUCAAAAAUUGAUGUAACAAAACAAAUAUUUAUAACCUUAUUGUAUAUAGCACAUAAUGAAAUUUACAAGUAUGAAAAGUUUAGUUUUACAUAAGUUUAUAUGGAUUGUGCUUAUCCAUUGACAGAAAGUGUGAUGACACCAUACUGCAAUAAUGGAUAUUUAACUGAAGCUCAACUCAAUUUCAAUAAAAUACUAAGCAGCACUAGUAUUGCUUUAGAACUGGCUUUUGCAAAACUAUUUGGAAUAUUAAGUUGUAUCUUGAUUUUUAUUAGUCAAGAAUUUAAUUAAAAUUAUUAUUUAGGUUUUUAGACGUUUACCAUAAAAAUUAAAAAGUGGGUUAAUUAUAAAUGCUGCUGCUACAUUACACAAUAUUUGUAUGGACCAGAAUGGUGAUAUAGAAGCAGUGACUUAUGCCAUGACAGAUAUGUACCAUCGAAUCAAACAGAUUCUUAAAAUGGGAUGUUUAAAAAAAAUAAUUUGUUAAAUUUUUCUUAAUAUAUUUUAAUCUUCAAAUUAUUGUUAUUAUCUUGAAUAAUUA
Molecule: non-coding RNA, 906 nt
Organism: Cinara cedri
Lineage: Eukaryota; Metazoa; Arthropoda; Insecta; Hemiptera; Aphididae
Source: the annotation of a GenBank genome assembly